UCGGACCCCCAAAGAGGUGACUUAGGAAAAAAUUAGGGAAAUCCCGGUGGACCAAAAACUUCGAAAAAGCGGUCCAGGAAAAAAUUAGGGAUAAAAAAAUAAAAAAUAAAAAGAGGUCAUUAAAUCCUCAAUAAAGGUAAUCCAGGUUUAGUGACCGCCAUAUCAGGAACCCAAAGGUCACUGGCAUCCAUGAAAAAUAAGGUGACUUCCAUUUCAAGUGAACCUCAA
Molecule: long non-coding RNA, 228 nt
Filed under: Lathyrus oleraceus (garden pea)
Lineage: Eukaryota; Viridiplantae; Streptophyta; Magnoliopsida; Fabales; Fabaceae
Description: Pisum sativum (pea) long non-coding RNA (PSAT_LNC002055)
Source: RNAcentral